AGGAUCAGUGGCGGCGGGCCCGCGCGGUGCCGGCGACUAGAAGCGAGAUGUCCUGACCCCUUCCAGGUUUGGACUAACCUCUGGACCUUAGCUGUGUGAGAAUGACAACGGUAUUCUGUGGUGCUGUCCCCACUCAGGUUGGCUGCUAUCCCUACUGAUGGAGAGAGGCUGGAGGCUGUCAGAGAAGAUAGUGCUGAUGCAGAGGCCUCCCAGCCAAGUGUGAAGGGAUGGGCCUUAACCAGGGUUGAAGAAAGAAAGUGAAGCCGCCCAAGGAAAGGUGGGGACAGUUGGGACUUUUGAUCACAUUCUUCUGGUAUCCUUCUCAUGUAUUGUAUGGUAUAAUCUCUAAAUUUCACAUAGUAAUCUGCAGUGUGUAUGCCCUGGCCAAAUGCUGCUUGGCUAAAAAAGUGUUAAAUAAAACUGUAAGAAACGCUA
Non-coding RNA from Arvicanthis niloticus (Nile rat), 435 nucleotides. Lineage: Eukaryota; Metazoa; Chordata; Mammalia; Rodentia; Muridae. The record is from RefSeq and is a predicted model, not a curated record.